CCUACGGAGGCUGCAGUGGGGAAUAUUGGACAAUGGGCGAAAGCCUGAUCCAGCCAUGCCGCGUGUGUGAAGAAGGCCUUCGGGUUGUAAAGCACUUUCAGUGGGGAAGAAAGCCUUGGGGCUAAUACCCUCGAGGAAGGACAUCACCCACAGAAGAAGCACCGGCUAACUCCGUGCCAGCAGCCGCGGUAAUACGGAGGGUGCGAGCGUUAAUCGGAAUUACUGGGCGUAAAGCGCGCGUAGGCGGUCUGAUAAGCCGGUUGUGAAAGCCCCGGGCUCAACCUGGGAACGGCAUCCGGAACUGUCAGGCUAGAGUGCAGGAGAGGAAGGUAGAAUUCCCGGUGUAGCGGUGAAAUGCGUAGAGAGCGGGAGGAAUACCAGUGGCGAAGGCGGCCUUCUGGACUGACACUGACGCUGAGGUGCGAAAGCGUGGGUAGCAAACAGGAUUAGAUACCCUUGUAGUC
Molecule: ribosomal RNA, 464 nt
Filed under: Vreelandella stevensii
Lineage: Bacteria; Pseudomonadati; Pseudomonadota; Gammaproteobacteria; Oceanospirillales; Halomonadaceae
Description: partial 16S ribosomal RNA
Rfam family: Bacterial small subunit ribosomal RNA
Source: RNAcentral